CAUCGGCAACAUUUUUAUAACCAACUAAACCAAAAAAACUCACUUACAAAUUAAUAAAAUUACAUUAAAAUAAGUAAAUGUAUGACUCAUGGCCAGUCCCAAANCCAAAUUGUAAUGGCAGCGACGCCGCUACACAAGGCGAUGGAAUAUGACUCCUUCCCUUCUCGCGGAGGAGCUCCACCAAGAAUAUGGUGGACGACCUCGACGCGUCAGGGAAUUUCUAUCUGACGUUUACUUUUG
RNAcentral lists this unclassified non-coding RNA (240 nucleotides) under Hevea brasiliensis (rubber tree). The record is from RNAcentral. Lineage: Eukaryota; Viridiplantae; Streptophyta; Magnoliopsida; Malpighiales; Euphorbiaceae.